This 845-nucleotide long non-coding RNA is filed under the name Chinchilla lanigera (long-tailed chinchilla). RNAcentral describes it as "lncRNA (ENSCLAG00000027140.1)". Lineage: Eukaryota; Metazoa; Chordata; Mammalia; Rodentia; Chinchillidae. The record is from RNAcentral.
UUUUGGGUGAGCAAAGGCAUUCCAUCCCAUCCAUUGCCGUUCUAUGUAGGAUAAUAUUGUCCUCUAUCUUCACCAAGAAGAUUAAAAGAACAAAAAUUUUUAGAGAGAGGGCUGGUGGGUGGUGGUUUAUAGGAAAUAGGGAUGGUUAGGGUCUUUGGGGGCCCUUAGGGAGAUUUUUCUUGUGUUUGGCUGAGAGGAGCACGAAUGCACCUUGACUUGCACAAAUUUCAUAGAGUGCUUCCAGAGCCCCUUUACCUUCAGACCCCUUAUACUUUUACUCUAGAGCUACUAGCCAAGGGAUACAGAACCAAACAGUACUAACCUUGUUCUUGGCUGAGAUUUGUGGAAUUUGAUUUCAGAAGCUUGGUUGAGGAAAUUAAGAACAACAACAAAAAGCUAUUGUUCUGAAAGGUUACAGGAGAGGAAACUUCUUAGGUCAAGCCACUAAUCUUGAACGACACCAUGUGGAGAUUAAAGAGGUGUUCUUUUUAUCGCUGGCUGGUACAUCAUGGAUAUAAUAAAGUUAUGAAUGCUUUCACAGACUCUAGAGUAUCCUCUGGCAAAGAUAACAAGAGAGAUAAAAAUGCCUUGACAACCUUUCCAGUAUCUUCCAGGCAGAAUAUUAACAAUAGCUUACAGCGAAGUAAAGUGAUACCCGUAAUCUAUGUGGAACCCAUCAAUGAAACCUUACACCAGGAUGAUGUGACAUCAGUAUCUUAUGUGGAACCCAUCAAUGAACUCAAAGUUCCAUCUGAAGUCAGAGCAGCAUCCUUAUGUGAAUUCACCAGUGAAAAGUAAGGCAUAAAUAAGUGCACACACACACACACACACACACACACACACAU